AGGAGGCACGCGUCGGACCGG
Molecule: microRNA, 21 nt
Filed under: Ananas comosus (pineapple)
Lineage: Eukaryota; Viridiplantae; Streptophyta; Magnoliopsida; Poales; Bromeliaceae
Description: microRNA s0622_c84a
Source: RNAcentral